RNAcentral lists this ribosomal RNA (253 nucleotides) under uncultured bacterium. Its description in RNAcentral is "partial 16S ribosomal RNA". It matches the Rfam family "Bacterial small subunit ribosomal RNA", at positions 524 to 776 of the family's 1533-position model. The record is from RNAcentral.
UACGGAGGGUGCGAGCGUUAAUCGGAAUUACUGGGCGUAAAGGGUGCGUAGGUGGUUGAUUAAGUUAUGUGUGAAAUUCCUGGGCUUAACCUAGGGAGGCCAGAUGAUACUGAUUGACUCGAGUAGGGUAGAGGGUAGUGGAAUUUCCGGUGUAGCGGUGAAAUGCGUAGAGAUCGGAAGGAACACCGGUGGCGAAGGCGGCUACCUGGACUCAUACUGACACUGAGGCACGAAAGCGUGGGGAGCAAACAGG